RNAcentral lists this long non-coding RNA (731 nucleotides) under Homo sapiens (human). RNAcentral describes it as "long non-coding RNA NONHSAT179722.1". Lineage: Eukaryota; Metazoa; Chordata; Mammalia; Primates; Hominidae. The record is from RNAcentral.
CACGGCGGGUAUAGUGGUUCCGCAACCUUGGGAUGUUCGGCUGAGCGCCUGCCUAACAUGGGAGCGCCUGCCUAACCCUCCUGACUGGAGGGUCAGCGGCGGGGAGUCCUGGCCUUCAAUCGGCCAUCGCCACGGCAGAAACUGGGGCCCGGGCUGCGUCCAGGCCCUUCCCCGUCCGUCCACAGGUCUCAUGGGCGCCCGGACUGGGGCUGAUGUAGUUUCCCGACCUCUGACACAUAGGAUCUGGAGAUUAAAGGUGCUCUGCUAAUAAUUAGGUUCCCACCUCUCAAGAUCAUUAGGAGCUUCUUUUCCAAUUCCUCUGUUUUGCAUGCAUUGGAAGGAAAAUGGUGACGCCGAGGGUGACUGAUUUCCAGGUUUACAUCGGUUGCCCCAGGGGAAGUGCCUGGCCCCCAUCUGGUCCUUGCUGCUCUAACUUUGCCCUGUUAAUUGAAGAAAUGCAGGUUCACAGGCUGCUCCCCAGAAUACUGAAGAAGAAACUCUAGGAGUGAGACCCAACAAUCUGUGUUUAACAAGUCCCCAGGCCCCUGGAUCCUCCUGGAAUCCCUGAUCCCUGUUGCUCCCUGGCGGAGUUUUCUAGUCCCUCUUACUUGAAGCAUGUCUUUCAGAGCCCGGCACCACCCAAGUUGGGUAUCUGGUGAAUUCUGUGGUCUGCAUGUCCAUGUUUGUGACAUUCUGGGAAGGGUGGCCCAGGCUGUGAUUUGCCAUCUACU